RNAcentral lists this ribosomal RNA (2302 nucleotides) under Escherichia coli. Its description in RNAcentral is "partial 23S ribosomal RNA". It matches the Rfam family "Bacterial large subunit ribosomal RNA", at positions 563 to 2843 of the family's 2925-position model. Lineage: Bacteria; Pseudomonadati; Pseudomonadota; Gammaproteobacteria; Enterobacterales; Enterobacteriaceae. The record is from RNAcentral.
CGUACAAGCAGUGGGAGCACAGAGCAAUCUGUGUGACUGCGUACCUUUUGUAUAAUGGGUCAGCGACUUAUAUUCUGUAGCAAGGUUAACCGAAUAGGGGAGCCGAAGGGAAACCGAGUCUUAACUGGGCGUUAAGUUGCAGGGUAUAGACCCGAAACCCGGUGAUCUAGCCAUGGGCAGGUUGAAGGUUGGGUAACACUAACUGGAGGACCGAACCGACUAAUGUUGAAAAAUUAGCGGAUGACUUGUGGCUGGGGGUGAAAGGCCAAUCAAACCGGGAGAUAGCUGGUUCUCCCCGAAAGCUAUUUAGGUAGCGCCUCGUGAAUUCAUCUCCGGGGGUAGAGCACUGUUUCGGCAAGGGGGUCAUCCCGACUUACCAACCCGAUGCAAACUGCGAAUACCGGAGAAUGUUAUCACGGGAGACACACGGCGGGUGCUAACGUCCGUCGUGAAGAGGGAAACAACCCAGACCGCCAGCUAAGGUCCCAAAGUCAUGGUUAAGUGGGAAACGAUGUGGGAAGGCCCAGACAGCCAGGAUGUUGGCUUAGAAGCAGCCAUCAUUUAAAGAAAGCGUAAUAGCUCACUGGUCGAGUCGGCCUGCGCGGAAGAUGUAACGGGGCUAAACCAUGCACCGAAGCUGCGGCAGCGACGCUGAUGCGUUGUUGGGUAGGGGAGCGUUCUGUAAGCCUGUGAAGGUGUGCUGUGAGGCAUGCUGGAGGUAUCAGAAGUGCGAAUGCUGACAUAAGUAACGAUAAAGCGGGUGAAAAGCCCGCUCGCCGGAAGACCAAGGGUUCCUGUCCAACGUUAAUCGGGGCAGGGUGAGUCGACCCCUAAGGCGAGGCCGAAAGGCGUAGUCGAUGGGAAACAGGUUAAUAUUCCUGUACUUGGUGUUACUGCGAAGGGGGGACGGAGAAGGCUAUGUUGGCCGGGCGACGGUUGUCCCGGUUUAAGCGUGUAGGCUGGUUUUCCAGGCAAAUCCGGAAAACUAAGGCUGAGGCGUGAUGACGAGGCACUACGGUGCUGAAGCAACAAAUGCCCUGCUUCCAGGAAAAGCCUCUAAGCAUCAGGUAACAUCAAAUCGUACCCCAAACCGACACAGGUGGUCAGGUAGAGAAUACCAAGGCGCUUGAGAGAACUCGGGUGAAGGAACUAGGCAAAAUGGUGCCGUAACUUCGGGAGAAGGCACGCUGAUAUGUAGGUGAAGUCCCUCGCGGAUGGAGCUGAAAUCAGUCGAAGAUACCAGCUGGCUGCAACUGUUUAUUAAAAACACAGCACUGUGCAAACACGAAAGUGGACGUAUACGGUGUGACGCCUGCCCGGUGCCGGAAGGUUAAUUGAUGGGGUCAGCGCAAGCGAAGCUCUUGAUCGAAGCCCCGGUAAACGGCGGCCGUAACUAUAACGGUCCUAAGGUAGCGAAAUUCCUUGUCGGGUAAGUUCCGACCUGCACGAAUGGCGUAAUGAUGGCCAGGCUGUCUCCACCCGAGACUCAGUGAAAUUGAACUCGCUGUGAAGAUGCAGUGUACCCGCGGCAAGACGGAAAGACCCCGUGAACCUUUACUAUAGCUUGACACUGAACAUUGAGCCUUGAUGUGUAGGAUAGGUGGGAGGCUUUGAAGUGUGGACGCCAGUCUGCAUGGAGCCGACCUUGAAAUACCACCCUUUAAUGUUUGAUGUUCUAACGUUGACCCGUAAUCCGGGUUGCGGACAGUGUCUGGUGGGUAGUUUGACUGGGGCGGUCUCCUCCUAAAGAGUAACGGAGGAGCACGAAGGUUGGCUAAUCCUGGUCGGACAUCAGGAGGUUAGUGCAAUGGCAUAAGCCAGCUUGACUGCGAGCGUGACGGCGCGAGCAGGUGCGAAAGCAGGUCAUAGUGAUCCGGUGGUUCUGAAUGGAAGGGCCAUCGCUCAACGGAUAAAAGGUACUCCGGGGAUAACAGGCUGAUACCGCCCAAGAGUUCAUAUCGACGGCGGUGUUUGGCACCUCGAUGUCGGCUCAUCACAUCCUGGGGCUGAAGUAGGUCCCAAGGGUAUGGCUGUUCGCCAUUUAAAGUGGUACGCGAGCUGGGUUUAGAACGUCGUGAGACAGUUCGGUCCCUAUCUGCCGUGGGCGCUGGAGAACUGAGGGGGGCUGCUCCUAGUACGAGAGGACCGGAGUGGACGCAUCACUGGUGUUCGGGUUGUCAUGCCAAUGGCACUGCCCGGUAGCUAAAUGCGGAAGAGAUAAGUGCUGAAAGCAUCUAAGCACGAAACUUGCCCCGAGAUGAGUUCUCCCUGACUCCUUGAGAGUCCUGAAGGAACGUUGAAG